This 382-nucleotide unclassified non-coding RNA is filed under the name Hevea brasiliensis (rubber tree). The record is from RNAcentral. Lineage: Eukaryota; Viridiplantae; Streptophyta; Magnoliopsida; Malpighiales; Euphorbiaceae.
GUAAAGAUUUGUGCUUUACUUGUCAAUUUGCUUACCAUAAUUGCAACACUCAAUAGUUACCUGGUGACUUGUGUCCUCGGACCUCGCCUGACGCCUGAGUGAGAGACUGAGAGAAUAGAGUGACUGCCUUACGAGUACGCCUGAGUCUGAGUGACUGACUGACUGGAGUAGCCGAGUAGUGGAGGAUGAAGGUGGUCCAGGUGGAGGCAUGGAGCAGUCGUCGCCGCCUCGCCGGAGGUGAUUCUAAAUUCUUCGCCGCGGAAAUCGGAACCCUAGUGGAGGACAAAGGUGGUCCAGGUGGAGGCAUGGAGCAGUCGUCGCCGCCUCGCCGGAGGUGAUUCUAAAUUCUUCGCCGCGGAAAUCGGAACCCUAGUGGAGGACA